This 856-nucleotide ribosomal RNA is filed under the name Halobacillus litoralis. RNAcentral's name for it is "bacterial SSU rRNA". It matches the Rfam family "Bacterial small subunit ribosomal RNA", at positions 39 to 878 of the family's 1533-position model. Lineage: Bacteria; Bacillati; Bacillota; Bacilli; Caryophanales; Bacillaceae. The record is from RNAcentral.
GCAGUCGAGCGCGGGAAGCAAGCUGAUCCCUUCGGGGUGACGCUUGUGGAACGAGCGGCGGACGGGUGAGUAACACGUGGGCAACCUGCCUGUAAGAUCGGAAUAACUCCGGGAAACCGGAGCUAAUGCCGGGUAAUACAUUUCUCCGCAUGGAGAGAUGUUAAAAGAUGGCUUCUCGCUAUCACUUACAGAUGGGCCCGCGGCGCAUUAGCUAGUUGGUGAGGUAACGGCUCACCAAGGCGACGAUGCGUAGCCGACCUGAGAGGGUGAUCGGCCACACUGGGACUGAGACACGGCCCAGACUCCUACGGGAGGCAGCAGUAGGGAAUCUUCCGCAAUGGACGAAAGUCUGACGGAGCAACGCCGCGUGAACGAUGAAGGUCUUCGGAUCGUAAAGUUCUGUUGUUAGGGAAGAACAAGUACCGUGCGAAUAGAGCGGUACCUUGACGGUACCUAACGAGGAAGCCCCGGCUAACUACGUGCCAGCAGCCGCGGUAAUACGUAGGGGGCAAGCGUUGUCCGGAAUUAUUGGGCGUAAAGCGCUCGCAGGCGGUUCCUUAAGUCUGAUGUGAAAGCCCACGGCUCAACCGUGGAGGGUCAUUGGAAACUGGGGAACUUGAGGACAGAAGAGGAGAGUGGAAUUCCACGUGUAGCGGUGAAAUGCGUAGAUAUGUGGAGGAACACCAGUGGCGAAGGCGACUCUCUGGUCUGUUUCUGACGCUGAGGAGCGAAAGCGUGGGUAGCAAACAGGAUUAGAUACCCUGGUAGUCCACGCCGUAAACGAUGAGUGCUAGGUGUUAGGGGGCUUCCACCCCCUUAGUGCUGAAGGUUAACGCAUUAAGCACUCCGCCUGGGG